GGAGCUUUUCUUUAAAAUCUCCAUACAAUCAGAGCACAGAACCCGUGAUCUGAGCUAAAAAUUCUGUUGAGAGAUGGUUAAGCUAACGAUUGUGGGAAGGGUGAAGGAUGGCUUGCCUCUUGCACAAGGUCAUCGGUACAUCACCGACGGCAAUGGCAUCUUUGGGUUUUACAAGCAACAAGCGGAACUUGUACUCGAAGAAAUUGCUAGAGGAGCCUUGGAGUCUCCCAAGAUGACCAUUCACGUCGACCACCAUUCCUUCUAAUAGUGUGAUAGCGAACAUUAGGAAGCAAUACAUCGACACAAGGACCCAAGCCAAUCUGUCAAAGCUUAAAGCGAACCGUAAAAAGGACGACAGCAUAGUUACAACGCAUAUUUCAGAGAUUGCCAGAAGAAGAGCGAGAAAUUUAGAAAUUCCAGAAAGCACGACUGCGAUGAAUGCGCCGGUUUCGCCUCUUUGGGGUUCCUCACGUAUGGAGGUGAUAGCGAUGAAAUGGACGCCUAUCGCCCUCAUCGUCUCGGUUGCUGCUUUUCUAUUAUGGGCAAGGGUGAACCUCGUAGAGAGUUACGCUGUUUGAAGCUUAGAAUCUCAGUCGAUGCAGUCAGAAAGUUCAGCUCGUGAUGCCAGAAAAAUCAGCUGUGAUGCUGAUUAGUAGUUAAUAUCCCCAUGGAAAAGAAUGAAAGAUGAUGGCCACUCCUCUUAAUUGCUGAUCUUCGAGUUUGCUUGCUUCUCACUCGACCCUGUAUUAUCACUAUGAGUCUCAAACGUUAGGCCCACUACAUAUUUAGACACAUACGUACACGUUGUAAACAGAUGUAUUAAUA
Molecule: RNA transcript, 825 nt
Organism: Eucalyptus grandis
Lineage: Eukaryota; Viridiplantae; Streptophyta; Magnoliopsida; Myrtales; Myrtaceae
Exons: 4
Source: RefSeq, a predicted model, not a curated record